This 71-nucleotide transfer RNA is filed under the name Loxodonta africana (African savanna elephant). It matches the Rfam family "tRNA". Rfam says of the family: Transfer RNA (tRNA) molecules are approximately 80 nucleotides in length. Lineage: Eukaryota; Metazoa; Chordata; Mammalia; Proboscidea; Elephantidae. The record is from Rfam by way of RNAcentral.
GCGUUGGUGGUUCAGUGGGAGAAUUCUUGCCUUCCAUGCAGGAGACCCAAGUUCGAUUCCCGGCCAAUGUA